RNAcentral lists this long non-coding RNA (247 nucleotides) under Nicotiana benthamiana. RNAcentral describes it as "long non-coding RNA (NBEN_LNC007329)". Lineage: Eukaryota; Viridiplantae; Streptophyta; Magnoliopsida; Solanales; Solanaceae. The record is from RNAcentral.
AUCCAAUCCCACGUGGAACCUGUCCUAAGAGCGGUUUUCGAGACAAAAACUGAUCAUUCUGUGGAUCCGAGAUAGAACUCCGGUCCUGCAACUCCUUCCCUUGAUAGCCUUGAGUUGUUGGUUACACCGCACCGGAAAAGCACUCUCUGGGAAAUCCGGAUCUUUCUCAGCAGGGACAGUACCAAGGAUAUCAGGGUUAGAUAGCUUUUUUUUCUCUGGCAGUCUAAAAUCUUUCCAAUCAAUCGGG